UUCUUCAUAGCUUAAUGGUAGAGUACUGUUGCGUAAAACUAGAGGCACGGGUUCGAUUCCCGGCGAGGGAG
RNAcentral lists this transfer RNA (71 nucleotides) under Agrilus planipennis (emerald ash borer). It matches the Rfam family "tRNA". From Rfam's summary of the family: Transfer RNA (tRNA) molecules are approximately 80 nucleotides in length. The record is from Rfam by way of RNAcentral. Lineage: Eukaryota; Metazoa; Arthropoda; Insecta; Coleoptera; Buprestidae.